GGAAAUGUAGCUCAGUUGGUAGAGCGGUAGACUGAAAAUCUACGCGUCGAAGGUUCAAUCCCUUCUUUUUCCACUA
Molecule: transfer RNA, 76 nt
Filed under: Chryseobacterium vrystaatense
Lineage: Bacteria; Pseudomonadati; Bacteroidota; Flavobacteriia; Flavobacteriales; Weeksellaceae
Description: tRNA_Phe_GAA
Rfam family: tRNA
About the family: Transfer RNA (tRNA) molecules are approximately 80 nucleotides in length.
Source: RNAcentral